This 430-nucleotide long non-coding RNA is filed under the name Gossypium barbadense (sea-island cotton). Its description in RNAcentral is "long non-coding RNA (GBAR_LNC022180)". The record is from RNAcentral. Lineage: Eukaryota; Viridiplantae; Streptophyta; Magnoliopsida; Malvales; Malvaceae.
ACCUUCGUAGUGGCAGCGUUUAUGACCACCCAAGGCUUGGCCUGUAGGGAAACUCUUGUGGCAGAUGGAACACUCGUGAAGCCUACCGCUGCUGGUGGCGGUGGUGGCGGUGCUGGUUGUUGAUGGGUUAUCGACGUUGGCGGCGGCGGUGGUGGUAGCGGCGUCGGCGGAAAGGGGUUUGCGGUGGCUGGCUUUAUGACCGCCCAAAGCUUGAUAAGAAGGGAACGCCUUGUCACAAACACUACACUUGUAAGACAACUUCAAAGCAGGCGGCGGCGGAGGCGGUGACAACGAAGGGGAAGACCGACGAAUAACAUCACGAUCAGCACCGGAAGAGCCGCGAGCGAGCAUGAUGAGACAAAGAGCGAGGUACUCUUCUUCGGUGGUGGGUUGAAGUUCAACAGCAGCAGGAGAGUCGCCACGUUGUCGC